GAGUUUUCUAAAAGGAGAGAAGGUUAGCAUUCCCCUUGACAAGGAUGGAAGAGGCCCUUGGGCCUAAAAACACACGUAUGGCUAAGGCAUUGCCACCUACUUCAUGACAUUUAAUCACUGUUUUCA
This is a small nuclear RNA of Peromyscus eremicus (cactus mouse), 126 nucleotides long. Lineage: Eukaryota; Metazoa; Chordata; Mammalia; Rodentia; Cricetidae. The record is from RefSeq and is a predicted model, not a curated record.